This 428-nucleotide ribosomal RNA is filed under the name uncultured soil bacterium. Its description in RNAcentral is "bacterial SSU rRNA". It matches the Rfam family "Bacterial small subunit ribosomal RNA", at positions 258 to 688 of the family's 1533-position model. The record is from RNAcentral.
UAAUAGCUCACCAAGGCAUCGACGGGUAGCUGGUCUGAGAGGACGAUCAGCCACACUGGGACUGAGACACGGCCCAGACUCCUACGGGAGGCAGCAGUUAGGAAUUUCCGCAAUGGGCGAAAGCCUGACCGAGCGACGCCGCGUGGAGGAUGAAGGCCUUCGGGUUGUAAACUCCUGUCGAGGGGGAGGAAGUCCCGAUUUAUCGGGAUUGACCGAUCCCUGGAGGAAGCACGGGCUAAGUUCGUGCCAGCAGCCGCGGUAAGACGAACCGUGCGAACGUUGUUCGGAAUCACUGGGCUUAAAGGGCGCGUAGGCGGCUUGCCAAGUCAGUGGUAAUAUAAAAACAGCUUAACUGCGGAAGUGCCAUUGAUACUGGCGAGCUCGAGGGAGGUAGGGGUAUGUGGAACUUCUGGUGGAGCGGUGAAAUG